This 6651-nucleotide long non-coding RNA is filed under the name Marmota monax (woodchuck). The record is from RNAcentral. Lineage: Eukaryota; Metazoa; Chordata; Mammalia; Rodentia; Sciuridae.
AACUUCAGUCACUAUAGCGGUUGGAGAGGAAGAUCAAGGAACUCACUUUGGCUCCUACAGGUCUCAUCUCAGAGGGGCAUGCCCGUGCUUCUCAUUGACUUUUGGUAAGUAUAGUCUUAUUGGCACAAAUUAAUUAUGUGUAGACUGUGAAAUAAAGGAAAUCAUGUGGACUAUUUGGAUUUGUAAGGUCGGUGUUUCAGUCCACCUGUCAGUUGUGAGCCCAGCAUUGAGGAGUCCAGAUGCAAUUAGCAGCUCUCUCUUUUCUCAACACAACCACCCUUAAACCAAGAACUCCCAACUCUGGGGCCACAAGACAGAAACAGCCUGCAUGCCUGUGUUGCAACUGGGAAGAGAGCUGCUCUCCAGAGUUACCAAGUCACAGCCAACUCUGAGUGUACCAAAAAUAAAGCUUUAUAUAUUAAGCUGAUGAGAUUUUAGGGCUUAUUACCACAACGUAGCCUCUCCCAUUUGAAUAAUACAAUGGUAUAGAAAGGUCUUCUCUCUCUCAGGGAGCCAAUGGUGCAACACAUUUUGCCAUUUGUAUUCUCAAAUCAUCCUUCAGAUUUCUUAUAAACUUUUGCCAAGUUUUGAUACUGUACUCAUUCUCAGCUUUGUGAGACUACUGGGUUUAAUGCUUUCUGACAUUUUAAUUUUACAGGGACAUAUUUUCUUAAUUCUGAAAAGAAAAAGGAAAAUACAGAUCUAUAGGAGACUCUAGAUCUAUAGGAAAAUACAGAUCUAUAGGAGCAGACGUGUAAUUAGAUCUCAUCAAAAUUGUUCAUGUUAGAUACAAUGUAGGACAAUGUAAAAUUUAUACCUGAUUAAUUUCUUUAGAAUUACUGCUGUUAUUAAAUUGAGAGACAUGAGUGAAAAUUAGUAGUAAGGUAAAAGAACAUAUACUAGUUGAAUCAGUGAUAUUAUAGGUGAAACUAUCAAUAAUUUUUUAUAAUGAACAUUAAAUACUAACAUACAUGCAUAUUUUGUAUUGAAGUUUCAUCUCACUAAGCAAUUAAUCAUGGCUUACCCUGUCCAUAUUCUUCAUCACAUUUAAUACCUUUAGUCACCCAGGGUGGAUGAGUUUGUGUUUCAUCCGGAACAAUUCCAGGCAAGGGAGCAUCAGGGACAGUGAUACCCUGCGCCAUGGCUCUGGUGAUAAACCUUUUGUGUAACUUCAGCUCCUUGAUGGUUUCACAGUAUUUCCUGAAGACCCCAUUCUGUAAGCAUAUUAUGUUUUCAUUAAGUGAAAAGAUGCUUAAAUUUGGAACUGCUUUUAGUUGAUCAAUAUGAUUCUAACCUUUUAAAAAUAUUUUGCAUUCAAUCCAAAACAGGUACAGAAAUCCUAAUAAGUUCAAAUCAUUAUGUUACACCCUUUGGAGACUUGGGAGUUUAGGGUAAUAACUUAAGUCUUUCUCUUUAUGUACUCACAUUUUAAAAUUAUAUUUAAAUACAUAGUUACAUUUACAAGAUCACGUUCUUUAAAGUUAGCAAGACAGUGGGAAUGACAGCAUGGGAAGAUGAAAUUUCAGCUUAUUCAGUAGAAUGCAUAGGUUUUAUGAACUAUGUAGUCACCAGAAUACAAUAAAAUGAUGCAAUACUUCCUUCCCACAUUUUCACAUGGAUCAGUCAUGUAACAUAACCACUCUCCGAGUCCUUGGGUGUCUGGGUAGGGCAGGGAGCCCUUUCUCAUUCUGCCGGAGGAGUGGCAUCUUAGUUCAUGAUUAACUCAUGAUGGCCUGAGGGAUAGGGAGUUAGACAGCCUAGAACAUAUCCUAGUUAAUUCCUGGUCUGAAUUACUAUAGUGCUUGGUUUUCUGGGAAUAAAUGAUGAGGAAAAUCUUCUUCUGGAAACUUCUCAACUUAAUAAUGUGAACCUGGAGACCUUUGUAAUAUCAGAGUGGAUUUUCUAGACCCCCAAUAUUACACCAAAAUUACAACACCAGGUUUUCAUUUUAAUGUAAACUCAGAGAAAGUGUUAGUGAGUGAAUCUCAUUCUUUUCAAUUCAUUUCUAUGUAUUUAUUAUUCUAAUAAAAUUUCUGGAUUUCUUUAUCAUAUCAGUAUGCAUCAAACUAAUAUUUUUACAGGUAUUACAAGAGCCAAUAUCUUUAAUGAUCCUCCAUUCUCUUUGAUUUUCUGUUCAAAUACUUAUUCAUAUCAAAAGGUCUUAUUUAUUUUAAAUAAUAUUAAACUUUGAAAAUAUCUCAUAAAAUUGUAGGUGAUGUAGAUGUACAAUGAUUGAAGUCAAAUAAAUAAUGGUCUUUGGAAUAAGAUAGAUUUUUUUCAUAGUUGAAACAACAUGAAUAUAUGAUUUAUAUGUGUACCAAAUAGAAAUAAUCUCAAUGAGAAAAUGAUUAAUGGGCUAUAACUCAGGUUAAUUAAAAUAUCAGUCAUAAUCAUUAUUAUAAAUGUAAAUAACAUGGUUGAUUUUUAGAUAAAUUGGACUUCUUGGGUGUCAUAAAACAUUUCUUCUUUUACUUUCUCAUAGCCAGGUACAUACUAAGUUGCUUAUACUUACUAACACAUAUAGAUGCCUUCCUGUCCCCGAGGAAGGAGAAACAUAUUUUGGUAUUUGGAAGGAAGACCCUAAGUAAUGACAUAUCAGAGAAGAAAUGAGAUCAUUUCUAUCUCAUAGGUUUUGUUGGAAUCAUUUUGAGAUACUAAGAAGAAAUUGAUGGGAUAGAUUGAGGAACCACAGGAAUACUUGGAGUUUUAAAAGCCCAGGUAGCAAAAUGAAGAGUUGAGGUAAGUUGUUCUCACUGUCUUUGCUUGAAAUUCAGGAGUCCCUUGGCAACUGCAAGAUUGAAAACUUUAAAAUCAUCUAGAAACAAAAACAUUGGCACAAUCCUUGAACUUCGGAUGAUGAAUGGCCCUGAUGGGCUUUCUCCAAAUCUCAUGAAGAGUGGAAUUAAACUACAAAAGAGAAUGUUUGGAAGAAAAGACCAAGGAAGACCUGUUGCUAUGCUAGAAAUAUUUAACCACCAGCUCUCCAGACAAGGGAAAAAUUCUAGCUUGUAAUUUUAAAUAAGUCAUAAUUACAUACGAUCACUGAACAUGGCUCUGGGAAGAGAUGUGCACAGUGGGCUCUGGUGAGCUUGUAAGAAGCAACUCCAACACAGUACUGACUAGAGAUCUCACAUCCUCAUUGUUCGAGGAAAGAUGACCUAUGGUUCAUGAGAGACACCUCUUAAGUGAUUUGGCACUUUCUUCAGCAUUACAUUUUACAAUCAAGUAGAGGGUUUGUUGCCACCACUACUUAAGAAUAAAAAUGAAUCACCCAAAGUGUCAGGUCAGAUUUCUAGGUAACAUGAAUAAUAUGUCAUAAUUAUAAGAAUUCCUGAAGGCAUACUGAUGGUCAUUAUGUGUGGGAAGGGCAAUACACAAAGUCAUGUGGAUCUUGUUCAUUCAUUCACUCACCUUUUUGCAAUUAUCAUUGUUUCUCCUGCUUUAACUUGGGUUGUUUCCCUUUUGAGUCUAUUCCAGUAAUUAUCUCUUCCUGACUUCCUAAUUAUUUCCUUGACUUCUCUGGAUUUUCCCAGGAUACUGGGUAACUGCUCAGACCUGGUUUGGCUCAGCAAUGAGUGUGAAUUUGCAUAGGUGAGGCAAUAUGAGUUGCUUGAGUUCAAUCUCCUAUUUCCUGAUACACUGAUGCCUUCCUUUAGGCCCCCGAAAAUUAUCUUCAGAUUCAGCUACACCCUCUGACUCUACUCUCUAGAAGGUUUUUAGAAUGUGCUUGUAUCCUGUCUCAUGUUAGGUAAACUAUAAUACAUUCCUUUGGAAAUCAGAUUCCCACCAAAUACUGCACAGAACCAUCUCUUUUGGAAGCUCAGCGUAGACAAAAAAUGUAUCUUCUCCACAAUUCUGAGUAUGUUUUGCCAUUUCUUGUUUCUUUAACACACAGCUUUGUUAGCAAGUGCGUAACUCUUAGACCUAAAGUGACAAAGCCAUUAUCAGACAAUAUAGGAAUAUCAACUUCCAGUAUUUUCUGCUGGUAGAAUACUGGAGAUAAGGAGGAAUUUGAAGAAGGGUUAAAUCUCCUUUGUUCUCCAGAAAUUAUAUCCUAAUUUAAGUCAGCACCUCCCUGGUAAGAAAAAAAAACGGGGAUAUUUGAUGCUUAAACUUCUCACUUUGUAUUCUGACAGAUUUGGUCAAUUUAUUAAUUUAGUCAAUAAAUAUUUAUUCUGUCUAGAAUGUUUGGGAAUAAAAAUAUGUACCAGAUAUGGAUUCUUAGUUCAAGGACCUAUAUUCUAUGAAGAGAGAUAAGGCAGGUACAUAAAUGGUAAUAUUAGAAAGUAGUAAGUGAUAGGGAUCAUGAGAAAAGUAACCAAAAGACAAGAGAAGGGAGGAAGUGUUCUCAACCGGGAGGAUUAGGAGAAGGAGACAUCUGGAGGAUGGGGAAUGUGGACAUGUCUUUGGGCUGGUGGAAAGCAGUGAGUGGGGCAUUUCAUGUAAGAAGGAAAUGUUGAGAUUCUUCAAAGAACAGCAAAUAAGCUGAUUAAGCUGGAAUACAGAGUUCAUUUUGACACACCAUAGGAGGAACUAAAUUAGAAAGGAGCAGAGUGGUGGGUAUUGAAUAAUUAAAGUGUGAACUCAUGAAAGUCAUGAAAUCCUAGUGAUCCAGUUAUUCCUCGGGGCACUUAAUUUGAUGACAAUUGAACGGAAUAGGAGAAAAGGUCAUAUCCGGGAAGGAAAAACCUACUGGUAGCUAUUGUAAAGGUAUCAUAAGGCAAAGGUAGUAAGAUUCUAGGUCAUGGAAAACCCAGUGAGAAUAGAGAAAGGAAUCAGAUAAUAGUAGUUAACUUUUAUUGAGCAUUUGCUAUGUACUAGGCACUGUGUCUGCAAGGAUGAUCUCUCUUUAACUUAACCAGAGGUUUCUGAGAUAAUGAGGGAGAAUCAAAACUUUGCCUUAUAUUUAGAGUCAGAAAACUGCUGUCUCUUAUAGCAGCAUGAAUUAAGCUGGUACCACAACAACUGUUUUCCCUCCUGUAAGAGGUUUCAGAUUGAUUAGAAGAGCAAAUAAAGAAAAAGCUCAGAGUUUUUUUCCCCCCAUAGGCUGAGUGACUUAAAAGAUGAAAAAAUUUUAAACUAACUUCAUGUCAUAUCAUAGUUAUAAUGCAAAACUUAAAAAAACAAUGAUUUCUAACUUUUAGAGUUGACUAAAUGAUGGCCUUUUCAUAAGGUAAUUUGAUAUUUAAAGAAUCUAUCAUCUUUCCAUUAACUUUCAGGAAAAGAUAAAGAAACUGCAACUUAUGAUAAAGAACAUGACAUGUUCCAUAAAAAAUCUGAGUAAAGUACAUGUUUAGUUCCAUGAGUUUCAUUUCUAUCUAUGUAAUGAGCUACACAAGUCUCCUUGUCCAGUCUAAUUCUGAUUUAUGUUUCCUUUUUGAUAGAGACUAAUUUUUAUCUCAACAAAGAAUGUACUGUAAUACCAGCAGCUCUGGAGGCUGAGGCAGGAGGAUCAUAAGUUCAAAGCCAAGCCCCAGCAAUAGCGAGGAGAUAAGCAACUCAGUGAAACACUGUCUCUAAGUAAAAUAAAAAAAAGAGGCUGGGGAUGUGGCUCAGAGUGCCCCUGAGUUUAAUCUCAUGUACCAAUAAAUAGACAAACAAACAAAGACUGUAUAUAUAGAAAUGUGUGUGUAUACACAUAUGUAUAUAUAUAUAUAUGAAUAUAUAUGUAUAUAUUGAAUAUAUAUACGCCAAUUUUUAAGCAAUAUUAUGACCUAAUUUUACAAGUAAAAAUAUUCUGAAGCUAAGUAGGUUCAUUUAUUCAAGUUUGUACAAUAAGUGGAAGAUUCUGGAUUUUAAGAUAAUUAUUUAUUUAUCUUUUUAUUUAUGUCCAUCACACCAAUGAAACAUAACCUUGAUGAAGGUAGGAAUAGUUUAGUAGAUAAAACACUACCUGCUUCAAUUGAAAAUGGCUGUUUAGGUGAAUGAAGCCAGAGAGUAAGAACACUGGGUGGCUGUUUUCAGCCACUGGACUUAAUUGCUUCCAUGGAGACACUCUUUUAACACUCGGAGACAUGAAAAGAUAAAGAACAAGGGUGAGAUUCUGUGGGUAACAGAAAAUUAGGAGAAGAGUAUUUACACAACUCAGAAUGUGCAUAAAUGAGAUGAUAUUAUAACAUGUUGAUUAGUGUGUUUAUGGCAUAUUUGCCACAUUGAUCCUUAACUUUUCCAAUUACAUAAAAGUAAUGCAUUUUUUGUUUCUUCUUUCAAAAUGAGCUAUUGAUCUAUAAGAAUGGAGUUAUUACAUUUAGAAUUGUUUUUUAAAAUCUCUUUCUGUGUGUCUUCUUGGAGACUGACUUGAUUUGGAAAGUUCAUCUUUGUGUCUGUAUUCAGCUUCUGGGUCUGAAUACUAACUCAAUCUUUGCUCCUCUGGAAGAAAAUUAUUUCUUUAUUUUAUUACAGCACAAGCUUUGGCUGUUCUGAUUAACAGGCUUAAAAGCAAACUAACAUUAAGUGUGAGGAGAACGUUUGUCAUGCUAACAUCAGGAUCACUUUCCAUAUGGUACACAAUUUUCCAUGUAAGAUUUAUUUAGAUGUUUAUUCUAGAUCUGAAAAACUGUUGCAUUGUGUUUGGAGUCUUUGCAAAUAACCUACAGCCUUUUUUACAUUAAUUUUUUUGUUAUCACUUUAAGCAUUACAUGUAAAAAUUUC